RNAcentral lists this ribosomal RNA (116 nucleotides) under Planococcus salinarum. RNAcentral also lists the same sequence under 2 other names. The record is from RNAcentral. Lineage: Bacteria; Bacillati; Bacillota; Bacilli; Caryophanales; Caryophanaceae.
UCCAGUGACGAUGGCAAAGAGGCCACACCCGUUCCCAUCCCGAACACGGCAGUUAAGCUCUUUUGCGCCGAUGGUAGUUGGGGGUCUCCCCCUGUGAGAGUAGGACGUCGCUGGGC